Molecule: long non-coding RNA, 639 nt
Organism: Mercurialis annua (annual mercury)
Lineage: Eukaryota; Viridiplantae; Streptophyta; Magnoliopsida; Malpighiales; Euphorbiaceae
Exons: 2
Source: RefSeq, a predicted model, not a curated record
AAAACCGAGUCAAAUCAAACCGAAAAAACCGAACCGAAAAAAAUAGUGGUUAAAAUGGUUUGGUUUGAUUUUUAAUAUAUAGAAAUUGCGGUUUUCGGUUUCGGUUUGGUUUUGGCGUUCGGUCACCGAACCAAACCGAAAAAACCGAAAUAAUUAAUGAAAGCUAUUUUGGUAAUUUAAAUACAAUACUAUAUAUUCAGAAAUUAAAACCAAAACCCUAAUAUUCCCACUCUGCCGCCACCUUACCCCUGACCCUCACCAAAUUCUUUCAUUUCCCUUCCCCUUUUCUCAUUUUCUUUCUCCAUCUCCUUUUCAUAAACCCUAAACUAAAACAAAUACUCUAAUAUUUCAUCAAAACUACUGCUCCGGCAUGGAUUUUUAUUCGUUUUCAGUUUUAUUAUUUCUUUUUCUAUCUCUAUUCGAUACUUAUCAUUCGAUUAUUAACAUAGAUCCGCAAAGAUAUAAACCAUGGAAUCUGUAGUGAUGUUUUUGAAGAAAAAUUGAAGUUUGUAAGGAGCUGAAUUUUUUUUAAGAUUCCUGAAGAUAAAUGGAGAAAGUUAAUUUUAGUUCUUUCUUCAUUAAAUAGAAGAACAUGUAAAAUAAAUGUUUAAAAUUAAUUGAUGUAGCCAUUUAAAUGUA